CUGGCUCAGGAUUAACGCUGGCGGCAUGCCUAAUACAUGCAAGUCGAAUGGUUAGCUUGCUAACCAUGGCGAACGGGUGAGUAACACGUAGGUAACCUGUCUUCAAGACGAGGAUAACCAUUGGAAACGAUGGAUAAUACUGGAUAGGACAAAUCCCCGCAUGAGGAGAUGUUUAAAGGAGCAAUCCACUUGAUGAGGGGCCUGCGGUGCAUUAGUUAGUUGGUGAGGUAACGGCCCACCAAGACGAUGAUGCAUAGCCGGACUGAGAGGUUGAACGGCCACAAUGGAACUGAGAACGGUCCAUACUCCUACGGGAGGCAGCAGUAGGGAAUUUUCGGCAAUGGGCGGAAGCCUGAACCCGAGCAAUGCCGCGUGAAUGAAGAAGUAUUUCGGUAUGUAAAGUUCUUUUAUUUGGGAAGAAAAAACAAAUUGACGGUACCAAAUGAAUAAGCUCCGGCUAACUACGUGCCAGCAGCAGC
This 479-nucleotide ribosomal RNA is filed under the name uncultured bacterium. RNAcentral's name for it is "bacterial SSU rRNA". It matches the Rfam family "Bacterial small subunit ribosomal RNA", at positions 19 to 518 of the family's 1533-position model. The record is from RNAcentral.